UACGUAGGGUCCAAGCGUUAUCCGGAAUCACUGGGCGUAAAGCGUGCGUAGGUGGCGCGUUAAGUGAGAUGUUAAAUCGUGUGGCUCAACCAUAUCGAUGCAUCUCAUACUGGCGUGCUAGAGGACAGCAGAGGCAAGUGGAAUUUGUAGUGUAGCAGUGAAAUGCGUAGAUAUUACAAGGAACACCAAUGGCGAAGGCAGCUCGCUGGGCUACUCCUGACACUGAGGUACGAAAGCGUGGGGAGCGAACAGG
This 253-nucleotide ribosomal RNA is filed under the name uncultured bacterium. Its description in RNAcentral is "partial 16S ribosomal RNA". It matches the Rfam family "Bacterial small subunit ribosomal RNA", at positions 524 to 776 of the family's 1533-position model. The record is from RNAcentral.